AUUCAGCUGACGAGUCCCUAAUAAAACGAAACGCAUAUCCUGAAU
This 45-nucleotide non-coding RNA is filed under the name Schistosoma haematobium. The record is from RNAcentral. Lineage: Eukaryota; Metazoa; Platyhelminthes; Trematoda; Strigeidida; Schistosomatidae.